AUUGAACGCUGGCGGCAUGCCUUACACAUGCAAGUCGAACGGCAGCACGGGUGCUUGCACCUGGUGGCGAGUGGCGAACGGGUGAGUAAUACAUCGGAACAUGUCCUGUAGUGGGGGAUAGCCCGGCGAAAGCUGGAUUAAUACCGCAUACGAUCUACGGAUGAAAGCGGGGGACCUUCGGGCCUCGCGCUAUAGGGUUGGCCGAUGGCUGAUUAGCUAGUUAGUGGGGUAAAGGCCUACCAAGGCGACGAUCAGUAGCUGGUCGGAGAGGACGACCGGCCACACUGGGACUGAGCCACGGCCCAGACUCCUACGGGAGGCAGCAGUGGGGAAUGUUGGACAAUGGGCGAAAGCCUGAUCCAGCAAUGCCGCGUGUGUGAAGAAGGCCUUCGGGGUGUAAAGCACUUUUGUCCGGAAAGAAAUCCUUGGCCCUAAUACGGUCGGGGGAUGACGGUACCGGAAGAAUAAGCACCGGCUAACUACGUG
This 486-nucleotide ribosomal RNA is filed under the name uncultured bacterium. Its description in RNAcentral is "partial 16S ribosomal RNA". It matches the Rfam family "Bacterial small subunit ribosomal RNA", at positions 29 to 507 of the family's 1533-position model. The record is from RNAcentral.